RNAcentral lists this long non-coding RNA (693 nucleotides) under Rattus norvegicus (Norway rat). Its description in RNAcentral is "long non-coding RNA NONRATT023054". The record is from RNAcentral. Lineage: Eukaryota; Metazoa; Chordata; Mammalia; Rodentia; Muridae.
GCUUUCAUGUUAAACUGGAGAGAGAAUGAGUAUCUUACUCUGCAAGUUCCUGCAUUUUUAUUUCAGAAUAAUCCGUAUGUAAAGGUCAGAAGAGGGCAUCGGAUCCCCUCCACGUGAGUUGCAGAAGGUUGUGAGCCACUGUGUGGGUACUGUGACUUCACCGUGGAACCUCUGGCAGAGCAGCCAGUGCUCCGAAGGCUGAACCAUCUCUCCAGCCCCACACUGGAGAGUUUCAGUCUGGCCCACCAGGCCUUUUAAGCUUGGACAGCUCUUAGCAGCCACCUGCAAAGAGCUUCCAGGUCCUAAAGAGAGUAGACGGACUGCUAAAGACCUUUGGGAAGUUGUUGUUCAGAUCUGCAGCGUGUCUAACCAGCACAAACGAGGAAAUGAUGGCAGAGUCAGUCUCAUAAAGCAGAGGGAGUCCACGCUGGGCAUAAUGUAUCGGAGUGAACUACUUUCUUUUAUCAAAAAAUUACGGGAACCACUGGUUUUGACUAUUAUUUUAUCACUCUUUGUGAAGCUUCACAAUGUUCGGGAGGACAUUGUGAAUGACAUCACAGCUGAGCACAUUUCCAUCUGGCCGUCUUCCAUUCCUAACCUGCAGUCUGUGGAUUUUGAAGCUGUGGCAAUCACUGUGAGAGAGGUCGUUCGAUACGCACUCAGUGUCAACCCAAACAGCCACGCGUGGCUGAU